GGCAAUUUGGCCGAGUGGUUAAGGCGUGAGAUUAGAAAUCUCUUGGGCUCAGCCCGCGCAGGUUCGAAUCCUGCAGUUGUCG
This 82-nucleotide transfer RNA is filed under the name Lachancea kluyveri NRRL Y-12651. RNAcentral's name for it is "tRNA-Ser (AGA) (tRNA-Ser-AGA-2-1)". It matches the Rfam family "tRNA". Rfam says of the family: Transfer RNA (tRNA) molecules are approximately 80 nucleotides in length. The record is from RNAcentral. Lineage: Eukaryota; Fungi; Ascomycota; Saccharomycetes; Saccharomycetales; Saccharomycetaceae.